UACGGGGGAUGCAAGCGUUAUCCGGAAUCACUGGGCGUAAAGAGUCUGUAGGUGGUUUAAAAAGUCUGCUGUUAAAUAUUAAAGCUUAACUUUGAAAAGGCAGUGGAAACUAUUAAACUAGAGCAUGGUAGGGGUAAAGGGAAUUCCCAGUGUAGCGGUGAAAUGCGUAGAUAUUGGGAAGAACACCAGUGGCGAAAGCGCUUUACUAGGCCAUUGCUGACACUCAGAGACGAAAGCUAAGGGAGCGAAUGGG
Molecule: ribosomal RNA, 253 nt
Filed under: uncultured bacterium
Lineage: Bacteria
Description: partial 16S ribosomal RNA
Rfam family: Bacterial small subunit ribosomal RNA
Source: RNAcentral